This 467-nucleotide ribosomal RNA is filed under the name uncultured bacterium. RNAcentral describes it as "partial 16S ribosomal RNA". It matches the Rfam family "Bacterial small subunit ribosomal RNA", at positions 28 to 507 of the family's 1533-position model. The record is from RNAcentral.
GAUGAACGCUGACAGAAUGCUUAACACAUGCAAGUCAACUUGAAUUUGGGUUUUUAACUUAGGUUUGGGUGGCGGACGGGUGAGUAACGCGUAAAGAACUUGCCUCACAGCUAGGGACAACAUUUGGAAACGAAUGCUAAUACCUAAUAUUAUGAUAAUAGGGCAUCCUAUAAUUAUGAAAGCUAUAAGCGCUGUGAGAGAGCUUUGUGUCCCAUUAGCUAGUUGGAGAGGUAACGGCUCACCAAGGCGAUGAUGGGUAGCCGGCCUGAGAGGGUGAUCGGCCACAAGGGGACUGAGACACGGCCCUUACUCCUACGGGAGGCAGCAGUGGGGAAUAUUGGACAAUGGACCGAGAGUCUGAUCCAGCAAUUCUGUGUGCACGAUGAAGUUUUUCGGAAUGUAAAGUGCUUUCAGUUGGGAAGAAACAAAUGACGGUACCAACAGAAGAAGUGACGGCUAAAUACGUG